CUACACUUUCCUCUUCUCCCCGACCGGAGGAGCCGCUCUUUCCGCGCGGUGCAUUCUGGGGCCCGAGGUCGAGCCCGCCGCUGCCGCCGUCGCCUGAGGGAAGCGAGAAGAGGCCGCGACCGGAGAGAAAAAGCGGAGUCGCCACCGGAGAGAAGUCGACUCCCUAGCAGCAGCCGCCGCCAGAGAGGCCCGCCCACCAGU
Molecule: long non-coding RNA, 201 nt
Filed under: Homo sapiens (human)
Lineage: Eukaryota; Metazoa; Chordata; Mammalia; Primates; Hominidae
Description: non-protein coding lnc-NACA-2:1
Source: RNAcentral